This 425-nucleotide ribosomal RNA is filed under the name uncultured bacterium. RNAcentral describes it as "partial 16S ribosomal RNA". It matches the Rfam family "Bacterial small subunit ribosomal RNA", at positions 354 to 796 of the family's 1533-position model. The record is from RNAcentral.
GUGGGGAAUAUUGCACAAUGGGCGAAAGCCUGAUGCAGCGACGCCGCGUGAGCGAUGAAGUAUUUCGGUACGUAAAGCUCUAUCAGCAGGGAAGAUAAUGACGGUACCUGACUAAGAAGCACCGGCUAAAUACGUGCCAGCAGCCGCGGUAAUACGUAUGGUGCAAGCGUUAUCCGGAUUUACUGGGUGUAAAGGGAGCGUAGGCGGCGUGGUAAGUCAGAAGUGAAAGCCCGGGGCUCAACCCCGGGACUGCUUUUGAAACUAUCAUGCUAGAGUGUCGGAGAGGUAAGUGGAAUUCCUAGUGUAGCGGUGAAAUGCGUAGAUAUUAGGAGGAACACCAGUGGCGAAGGCGGCUUACUGGACGAUAACUGACGCUGAGGCUCGAAAGCGUGGGGAGUAAACAGGAUUAGAUACCCGUGUAGUCC